RNAcentral lists this ribosomal RNA (494 nucleotides) under uncultured bacterium. RNAcentral describes it as "partial 16S ribosomal RNA". It matches the Rfam family "Bacterial small subunit ribosomal RNA", at positions 28 to 507 of the family's 1533-position model. The record is from RNAcentral.
GACGAACGCUGGCGGCGUGCUUAACACAUGCAAGUCGAACGGUGAAGCGCCUUCCUUUUUGGUGGGUGUGGAUGAGUGGCGAACUGGUGAGUAACACGUGAGUAACCUGCCCCCUUCUUCUGGAUAACCGCAUGAAAGUGUUGCUAAUACGGGAUAUUCUGGGUCUGUCGCAUGAUGGGUCUGGGAAAGAUAUUGUUUCGGUGGGGGAUGGGCUCGCGGCCUAUCAGCUUGUUGGUGGGGUGAUGGCCUACCAAGGCGGUGACGGGUAGCCGGCCUGAGAGGGUGGACGGUCACACUGGGACUGAGACACGGCCCAGACUCCUAAGGGAGGCAGCAGUGGGGAAUAUGGCACAAUGGGCGCAAGCCUGAUGCAGCGACGCCGCGUGAGGGAUGGAGGCCUUCGGGUUGUGAACCUCUUUCGCCAGUGAAGCAGGCCUGCCUCGUUUGUGGGUGGGUUGACGGUAGCUGGAUAAGAAGCGCCGGCUAACUACGUG